RNAcentral lists this transfer RNA (70 nucleotides) under Cololabis saira (Pacific saury). RNAcentral's name for it is "tRNA-Pro". It matches the Rfam family "tRNA". Rfam says of the family: Transfer RNA (tRNA) molecules are approximately 80 nucleotides in length. Their secondary structure includes four short double-helical elements and three loops (D, anti-codon, and T loops). The record is from RNAcentral. Lineage: Eukaryota; Metazoa; Chordata; Actinopteri; Beloniformes; Belonidae.
CAAAGAAUAGUAUAAUUAAGAACGAUAGCUUUGGGAGCUAUUGGUGGGGGUUAAAAUCCCUUUUCUUUGA